AAAGGGUAGAAAUAUACAACAGGAAUUUAUAAUGGUAAUACACACUGAGCCUAUACAUAUACUUAGCAAUAAAGAAUAGAAAGCUAAACAACAAACAUCUUUACAAGUAUAUAUAUGCGCUUCAUUUUGGCAAAAAGAGUGCAGCUCCAACCAAGGCUAUCCAUAUUGUUAAAAUUGCCCAGAAUGAUUGGCUUUUCUCCAGACCAACUGGGGGCUUCCAGACCAGAAAGUCGCCCACCCAGUCCCUGCUUGAUGGAAGCUGAUUUGUUGUAGACCGACUUUGUCUUUCAUCUUGGUCCUUCUUUUUGUCGGUCCAUGAUCCAGCAUAACUAUCAUAGCUAGAACCAAUAAGCGGUAUAGUAACCAUUUCUUCUUGAGAUAUCUUCAACUUAGGUGCUUGCAAUAUAUAACGAAGCUCUGCAGCUUGACGUCGAAUGCUGAUGCUGGGAUGUUUCCUUUCUAGUUGCUUAUACAAAUCAAUGCAGUCUGAAUGGCGGUUAUUAGCUUCAUAAGCCAUAGCAAGCCAUAUUUGUAUCUCUCCACCAAACAAGGUUGGUCUCGGAAUGAUAGUAAGAGCACCUUCAAGGAACUCUAUUGCACGUCCAUACAUGCCCUUCCCAUAAGCCUUCUGGCCCAAAUCGAACAUUAAUUGAGCAGUUUUUCUGCGUUCCGAUUGUUCCUGUGCCACCUUUUCGAGCUCCCUUCGAACUCUUUCACGUUUCUCCUCCUCAGUUUCUUCACUGAUUUCAUCUUCUUCACCAUACUCCUCAUCAACACGAUUCUGCAAUUCCUCAGCUUUUUUCUCCAAUUCCUUCAUUUCCUCUAGCUCCUUAACUCUCCUCUUCAUUUCUUUCUCCCAAUCGAACUCUUCUCCUCCUCCUUCUCCACCUUCUCCUUCAUCUUCAACACCAUUUCCAUUCUCAUCAUCACUUGAAUUCUCAUAAUCAACCGCACCCACUUUCGAAUUCGCUUUACCCCGAAAACCCACUUUCGGAUUAACUCUUUCUCUUUCAUUUUCAAACCCACUAGAAAUAUACAUGCUCUGAUUCUGACAUGGGUCUUUCUUCACAAAAAAAUUCAACAGAACAUCCCUCGUUUUCCGAUCUGGUAACACUACAGCACGUGGAGUAGUCACGUGAGUUCCGUCAAGCAAUAGUGCUAUGUUUCCGACUACUACCGCCAUCUCCGAUUACUAUUCAA
RNAcentral lists this unclassified non-coding RNA (1200 nucleotides) under Hevea brasiliensis (rubber tree). Lineage: Eukaryota; Viridiplantae; Streptophyta; Magnoliopsida; Malpighiales; Euphorbiaceae. The record is from RNAcentral.